Molecule: long non-coding RNA, 319 nt
Organism: Centruroides sculpturatus (bark scorpion)
Lineage: Eukaryota; Metazoa; Arthropoda; Arachnida; Scorpiones; Buthidae
Exons: 3
Source: RefSeq, a predicted model, not a curated record
UAUUACGAAGAUUACGUAUUGACUGAUUCAAACGGAUAUCCGGAAGAUAUUAGCGAGGAAUGCACUAAACCAGGAUCAAAAUUUCUUUUAAGCUUUUUCUACGAUGGAAAAUAUGAUGAUUUAUAUACAAAAAUUUUAAUGUUUGGAUUCUCACCAGAUUUCCACAUAACAGUUAACAAGAAAGAAUACAAUUACAAUGCUGUACCAAUUUCAGAUUUAUUUACUUCGGUCGAAUUCUUCCUACCGCUGAAUGAAGUGCCAGAUAAUUCAAUAGUAGAUAUGGAAUUAUUUCACGACACCAAAUUUAUAAAAAUCUGUA